UCUAGCGAUCCGAUGGGGUAUUGUUGCCUUGUCGAGGAGCUUCCCGGAAACGAAAGUCUUUCGGUUCCUGGGGUAGUAUGGUUGCAAAGCUGAAACUUAAAGAAAUUGACGGAAUGGCACCACCAGGAGUGGAGCCUGCGGCUUAAUUUGACUCAACACGGGAAAACUCACCCGGCCCGGACACCGUAAGGAUUGACAGAUUGAAAGCUCUUUCUCGAUUUGGUGGUUGGUGGUGCAUGGCCGUUCUUAGUUGGUGGAGCGAUUUGUCUGGUUUAUUCCGAUAACGAGCGAGACUCUAGCCUGCUAAAUAGUGACUAGAUUUUUAUGUCUAGUCUACUUCUUAGAGGGAUAAGCGGUGUUUAGCCGCACGAGAUUGAGCGAUAACAGGUCUGUGAUGCCCUUAGAUGUCCGGGGCUGCACGCGCGCUACAAUGGAAGAAUCAGCUGGCCUAUCCAUUGCCGAAAGGUAUUGGUAAACCGUUGAAACUCUUCCGUGACCGGGAUAGGGAAUUGUAACUAUUUCCCUUGAACGAGGAAUUCCUAGUAAGUGUGAGUCAUCAGCUCACGCUG
Molecule: ribosomal RNA, 569 nt
Filed under: Crenosoma vulpis
Lineage: Eukaryota; Metazoa; Nematoda; Chromadorea; Rhabditida; Crenosomatidae
Description: SSU rRNA
Rfam family: Eukaryotic small subunit ribosomal RNA
Source: RNAcentral